This 2902-nucleotide ribosomal RNA is filed under the name Klebsiella aerogenes. Its description in RNAcentral is "23S ribosomal RNA". It matches the Rfam family "Bacterial large subunit ribosomal RNA". RNAcentral also lists the same sequence under 1 other name. The record is from RNAcentral. Lineage: Bacteria; Pseudomonadati; Pseudomonadota; Gammaproteobacteria; Enterobacterales; Enterobacteriaceae.
UUAAGCGACUAAGCGUACACGGUGGAUGCCCUGGCAGUCAGAGGCGAUGAAGGACGUGCUAAUCUGCGAAAAGCGUCGGUAAGGUGAUAUGAACCGUUACAGCCGGCGAUGUCCGAAUGGGGAAACCCAGUGUGAUUCGUCACACUAUCGUUAACUGAAUACAUAGGUUAACGAGGCGAACCGGGGGAACUGAAACAUCUAAGUACCCCGAGGAAAAGAAAUCAACCGAGAUUCCCCCAGUAGCGGCGAGCGAACGGGGAGCAGCCCAGAGUCUGAAUCAGCUUGUGUGUUAGUGGAACGGUCUGGAAAGUCCGACGGUACAGGGUGAUAGUCCCGUACACCAAAAUGCACAGGUUGUGAACUCGAAGAGUAGGGCGGGACACGUGGUAUCCUGUCUGAAUAUGGGGGGACCAUCCUCCAAGGCUAAAUACUCCUGACUGACCGAUAGUGAACCAGUACCGUGAGGGAAAGGCGAAAAGAACCCCGGCGAGGGGAGUGAAAAAGAACCUGAAACCGUGUACGUACAAGCAGUGGGAGCACCUUCGGGUGUGACUGCGUACCUUUUGUAUAAUGGGUCAGCGACUUAUAUUCUGUAGCAAGGUUAACCGUAUAGGGGAGCCGCAGGGAAACCGAGUCUUAACUGGGCGUUAAGUUGCAGGGUAUAGACCCGAAACCCGGUGAUCUAGCCAUGGGCAGGUUGAAGGUUGGGUAACACUAACUGGAGGACCGAACCGACUAAUGUUGAAAAAUUAGCGGAUGACUUGUGGCUGGGGGUGAAAGGCCAAUCAAACCGGGAGAUAGCUGGUUCUCCCCGAAAGCUAUUUAGGUAGCGCCUCGUGAAUUCAUCUUCGGGGGUAGAGCACUGUUUCGGCUAGGGGGUCAUCCCGACUUACCAACCCGAUGCAAACUACGAAUACCGAAGAAUGUUAUCACGGGAGACACACGGCGGGUGCUAACGUCCGUCGUGAAGAGGGAAACAACCCAGACCGCCAGCUAAGGUCCCAAAGUCACAGUUAAGUGGGAAACGAUGUGGGAAGGCACAGACAGCCAGGAUGUUGGCUUAGAAGCAGCCAUCAUUUAAAGAAAGCGUAAUAGCUCACUGGUCGAGUCGGCCUGCGCGGAAGAUGUAACGGGGCUAAACUGUGCACCGAAGCUGCGGCAGCGACACUAUGUGUUGUUGGGUAGGGGAGCGUUCUGUAAGCCUGCGAAGGUGGCCUGUGAGGGUUGCUGGAGGUAUCAGAAGUGCGAAUGCUGACAUAAGUAACGAUAAUGCGGGUGAAAAGCCCGCACGCCGGAAGACCAAGGGUUCCUGUCCAACGUUAAUCGGGGCAGGGUGAGUCGACCCCUAAGGCGAGGCCGAAAGGCGUAGUCGAUGGGAAACAGGUUAAUAUUCCUGUACUUGGUGUUACUGCGAAGGGGGGACGGAGAAGGCUAUGUUAGCCGGGCGACGGUUGUCCCGGUUUAAGCAUGUAGGCGGAGGUUCCAGGUAAAUCCGGUACCUUUUAACGCUGAGGUGUGAUGACGAGGCACUACGGUGCUGAAGUAACAAAUGCCCUGCUUCCAGGAAAAGCCUCUAAGCAUCAGGUAACAUUAAAUCGUACCCCAAACCGACACAGGUGGUCAGGUAGAGAAUACCAAGGCGCUUGAGAGAACUCGGGUGAAGGAACUAGGCAAAAUGGUGCCGUAACUUCGGGAGAAGGCACGCUGAUAUGUAGGUGAAGCCCCUGCGGGUGGAGCUGAAAUCAGUCGAAGAUACCAGCUGGCUGCAACUGUUUAUUAAAAACACAGCACUGUGCAAACACGAAAGUGGACGUAUACGGUGUGACGCCUGCCCGGUGCCGGAAGGUUAAUUGAUGGGGUUAUCCGUAAGGAGAAGCUCUUGAUCGAAGCCCCGGUAAACGGCGGCCGUAACUAUAACGGUCCUAAGGUAGCGAAAUUCCUUGUCGGGUAAGUUCCGACCUGCACGAAUGGCGUAAUGAUGGCCAGGCUGUCUCCACCCGAGACUCAGUGAAAUUGAACUCGCUGUGAAGAUGCAGUGUACCCGCGGCAAGACGGAAAGACCCCGUGAACCUUUACUAUAGCUUGACACUGAACAUUGAGCCUUGAUGUGUAGGAUAGGUGGGAGGCUUUGAAGCGUGGACGCCAGUCUGCGUGGAGCCAACCUUGAAAUACCACCCUUUAAUGUUUGAUGUUCUAACGUUGGCCCCUGACCGGGGUUGCGGACAGUGUCUGGUGGGUAGUUUGACUGGGGCGGUCUCCUCCCAAAGAGUAACGGAGGAGCACGAAGGUUAGCUAAUCCUGGUCGGACAUCAGGAGGUUAGUGCAAUGGCAUAAGCUAGCUUGACUGCGAGCGUGACGGCGCGAGCAGGUGCGAAAGCAGGUCAUAGUGAUCCGGUGGUUCUGAAUGGAAGGGCCAUCGCUCAACGGAUAAAAGGUACUCCGGGGAUAACAGGCUGAUACCGCCCAAGAGUUCAUAUCGACGGCGGUGUUUGGCACCUCGAUGUCGGCUCAUCACAUCCUGGGGCUGAAGUAGGUCCCAAGGGUAUGGCUGUUCGCCAUUUAAAGUGGUACGCGAGCUGGGUUUAGAACGUCGUGAGACAGUUCGGUCCCUAUCUGCCGUGGGCGCUGGAGAAUUGAGGGGGGCUGCUCCUAGUACGAGAGGACCGGAGUGGACGCAUCACUGGUGUUCGGGUUGUCAUGCCAAUGGCAUUGCCCGGUAGCUAAAUGCGGAAGAGAUAAGUGCUGAAAGCAUCUAAGCACGAAACUUGCCCCGAGAUGAGUUCUCCCUGAGACUUUAAGUCUCCUGAAGGAACGUUAAAGACGAUGACGUUGAUAGGUCGGGUGUGUAAGCGUAGCGAUACGUUGAGCUAACCGAUACUAAUGAACCGUGAGGCUUAACCUU